This is a long non-coding RNA of Triplophysa rosa, 700 nucleotides long. RefSeq lists it as uncharacterized. The record is from RefSeq and is a predicted model, not a curated record. The transcript is spliced from 4 exons. Lineage: Eukaryota; Metazoa; Chordata; Actinopteri; Cypriniformes; Nemacheilidae.
CAUUCCCUCCCCAUUCAUGCAAUAGCACUGCUGCAGUGUGUUAAUAUUUGCUGUCUUUGUUUAUGAUCAUUCUGUCGGAUCAUCAGAUACCUACAAGAGAGGAGAGCUACUGGUGUAUUCUGUGGUUAACAGACAGGACAGAGCGAGCCCCGCCGAUAAUACAGGAGCAGCAGAAAGAGGGCGAGUGAAGAUACAGUCAGCGCAGGUGAACAGCUACAAUCUGCACCACGUGUCGCCAUCAUGGAGGAGGACGAGCAUAAACAAGACUUUCUCUAUUGUGAAGAGUGUCAGUCAUUUUUCAUCGGUGAAUGUGACGUUCAUGGUGCUCCAUUGUUCAUUCCUGACACCGUUGUGUCUGUGGGGGCUGCAGACCGGGCCAGACUUACCCUUCCUGCUGGACUGGAGGUUCGGACAUCCAACAUUCCCAAUGCAGGACUCGGGGUGUUUAACCAGGGUGAGAUUCUUCCAGUUGGAGCACAUUUUGGCCCUUAUGAGGCAGAAGCAAGCAAAAAGGAGGAAGCUAUCAGCAGUGGAUACUCAUUUGUGGUGAGCCUGUUGUCUAAAAAAGCAGUGUUUUUCACAGAGAAAUGUUUUUUCAUACAGAAACUGUGAACAUUUUUGAGAUAGAUGUAGAGUACUAACUCCAACAAUGACUUUACGUGAUACAUCAUUAAAAUGUGGUUUAAAAGAAAGUUUACAA